This 462-nucleotide ribosomal RNA is filed under the name Micrococcineae bacterium CL3.116. RNAcentral's name for it is "bacterial SSU rRNA". It matches the Rfam family "Bacterial small subunit ribosomal RNA", at positions 17 to 490 of the family's 1533-position model. Lineage: Bacteria; Bacillati; Actinomycetota; Actinomycetes; Micrococcales. The record is from RNAcentral.
CCCUGGCUCAGGAUGAACGCUGGCGGCGUGCUUAACACAUGCAAGUCGAACGAUGACCCGGUGCUUGCACCGGUGAUUAGUGGCGAACGGGUGAGUAACACGUGAGUAACCUGCCCUUAACUCUGGGAUAAGCCUGGGAAACUGGGUCUAAUACCGGAUAUGACUCCUCAUCGCAUGGUGGGGGGUGGAAAGCUUUAUUGUGGUUUUGGAUGGACUCGCGGCCUAUCAGCUUGUUGGUGAGGUAAUGGCUCACCAAGGCGACGACGGGUAGCCGGCCUGAGAGGGUGACCGGCCACACUGGGACUGAGACACGGCCCAGACUCCUACGGGAGGCAGCAGUGGGGAAUAUUGCACAAUGGGCGCAAGCCUGAUGCAGCGACGCCGCGUGAGGGAUGACGGCCUUCGGGUUGUAAACCUCUUUCAGUAGGGAAGAAGCGAAAGUGACGGUACCUGCAGAAGAAG